CCAUCGGGCCUUUCUUUAACUCCAUAAACUGGCUUUGAUUCCCAGUGAGGAGGCAGGGGCUGCAGACAAAGACCCACUGUUGCUUCCUCUCAAAGUUGUCUUAACCCUUUUCAUGCGGGCUCUGUCACUUUAGGCGUGUAAAGACAUAAAAGGCAGAGUCCUUGUCAGAAGGCAUUUUCUGGACAAAUAUUAGCCCUCGCUGGAUGUGAAUGACUUUGGCCAUCAGGGGUAAUUAGCGCGAUCAGGUGGAUCACAAACUGCGAAGCUUCAGCCGGACUUUUACGCACAGCGGGGCUCAGGUUGGCAGGUGUACCGUUCCUAAAACCCAUGCCUUGUUUCCUGUUUACCACGAGCUCCAACGGCCGAAGGAGCAGGAAGAUCCACGUCCAGGAGGAUUUGGGUCAUGUUCUGCUUUAUGUCAAAUUCCGGGGGAGGAAAAAUCCUGUUCGAGCAGACGGAUGAAGCCGUUUCAGCAGCAUCAUUUGGAUUUUUAUACUCUUUAAAAUACAAAUGUGUUCAAACCAGUCUGGAUUAUGGUAUAGUGGAAAUGUGGUCUGUGGUAUAGUGGGCUCAAUAAAACCAACAGCAUAACCUAAUGCUGCAUAAAUCUGUCCAGUAAACGUCUAAAUUACUGAGUUGAACAAUAACACAGAGUGAAAAUGGGCUUAAAAGGCCCACAGCAGUUAUGGGGAGAGUGUGGCUGAGUUUUAAAUCUGUCCUCAAGUUCAAAUGAUGGAGCAAAAGUGGAAGCGCUUUGACCUUGUAGGACAUUUUCUUCAGAUUCAAACUCAGGAUUUUACUCUGACGGUUUUCAUCGCUGCAACAUCAACUUUAGUUUGAAGAUUUGUGUUGUAAAAUCGUAUCUUUUGCCUUAAUUUGUGGUCAGAUAGCUCCACGGAGCAAAGGUUCUGCAGUCAGCGAGUUCAGUCAGGCAGCCGCAUGGACGCCCGCCUCCCCCUUCUCCCUCCCUCACCCCAACCCUCCUCCUAUGGGAGACAUAUUUAAUUUAAUUAAGGCCUGUCACCGCUAUUGAUUUUGGCACUUUCAAUUAUGGCCCGGACGUUUAUGGGCUGUAUGUGCUUUGGAUCUACUGAUCUGUGAUGAGGGGGCCCUAUCAGUGCGGGACCACAUGGAAGAGAAGCCUUUUUGUCUUCCUUAUUGCUCUGCCCUGUCUGCAGGAAACACUGAGGCAUGGCUGCCGCCUCAGCCCCACUCCCCUCCUGCUAACCAUAAUUAAUCCCUCAUUAGACAGCUCUUUAUUGUUUAAUUUGUGCCGUUGGUAAUCAAAUUGGGCAGAUUAAUUGCUACAGAAUUUAGAAACCGGAGUGAAAAAUAGCCACUUUUAAUUGCCUUUAGGUUUUAUGACACCCCAAGCUCUUCGCUAAGCCAUCAGGGCAACACUGGCGAAAUAUCUCACACUCUAAAGAUUUUUCUUUUCUCUGCAUGAUGAACCAUUACUCUGUGCUUUUUCCUCUUUUUUUCUUCAAACAAAAGCACAGUGACUUUGCUGCAGCUCAUUAAAAUGUUUCUUGGAGAGGUAU
Long non-coding RNA from Oryzias latipes (Japanese medaka), 1541 nucleotides. RefSeq lists it as uncharacterized. Lineage: Eukaryota; Metazoa; Chordata; Actinopteri; Beloniformes; Adrianichthyidae. The record is from RefSeq and is a predicted model, not a curated record.